This 478-nucleotide ribosomal RNA is filed under the name uncultured bacterium. RNAcentral's name for it is "partial 16S ribosomal RNA". It matches the Rfam family "Bacterial small subunit ribosomal RNA", at positions 28 to 507 of the family's 1533-position model. The record is from RNAcentral.
GAUGAACGCUGGCGGCGUGCUUAACACAUGCAAGUCGAACGAGAAGUGAAGACGGAAACCUUCGGGCGGAAGGCUUUAUUUCGAGUGGCGGACGGGUGAGUAACGCGUGGGUAACCUGCCUCAUACAGGGGGAUAACAGUUGGAAACGACUGUUAAUACCGCAUAAGACCACAGCACCGCAUGGUGCGGGGGUAAAAACUCCGGUGAUAUGAGAUGGACCCGCGUUCGAUUAGCCAGUUGGCGGGGUAACGGCCCACCAAAGCGACGAGCGAUAGCCGAUCUGAGAGGAUGACCGGCCACAUUGGGACUGAGACACGGCCCAAACUCAUACGGGAGGAAGCAGUGGGGAAUAGUGCACAAUGGGGGAAACCCUGAUGCAGCGACGCCGCGUGAGUGAAGAAGUAUUUCGGUAUGUAAAGCUCUAUCAGCAGGGAAGAAAAUGACGGUACCUGAGGAAGAAGCCCCGGCUAACUACGUG